Molecule: unclassified non-coding RNA, 357 nt
Filed under: soil metagenome
Description: partial contains 5.8S ribosomal RNA, internal transcribed spacer 2, and large subunit ribosomal RNA
Rfam family: 5.8S ribosomal RNA (bases 1-119)
Source: RNAcentral
GAUGAAGACGUAGCGAAAUGCGAUAAGUAAUGUGAAUUGCAGAAUUCAGUGAAUCAUCGAAUCUUUGAACGCACAUUGCGCCCGUCAGUAUUCUGGCGGGCAUGCCUGUUCGAGCGUCAUUACGCCCCUCAAGUCCCCUGUGGACUUGGUGUUGGGGAUCGGCGAGGCUGGUUUUCCAGCACAGCCGUCCCUUAAAUUAAUUGGCGGUCUCGCCGUGGCCCUCCUCUGCGCAGUAGUAAAACACUCGCAACAGGAGCCCGGCGCGGUCCACUGCCGUAAAACCCCCCAACUUUUUAUAGUUGACCUCGAAUCAGGUAGGACUACCCGCUGAACUUAAGCAUAUCAAUAAGCGGAGGA